Long non-coding RNA from Setaria italica (foxtail millet), 563 nucleotides. RefSeq lists it as uncharacterized. The record is from RefSeq and is a predicted model, not a curated record. The transcript is spliced from 2 exons. Lineage: Eukaryota; Viridiplantae; Streptophyta; Magnoliopsida; Poales; Poaceae.
ACCACGCGGUUUGGGUCACUGCAGCUUUCGCUGAGAAGCCAUAAAAGCUCAACGCCCCGGCUCUGCUCGUGCCAUCGACCACCAGAGCAACCAGAACGUCCUGACCAUGGCUGCGAAAGUUUCGUCACUCUUCCUCGCCGUUCUUUUGCUAGCCAGUCUGGCCCUUGUCCCGCCGGCAGUUGGGUGGAGGACAUGCUGAAGGGUGACCGCGAAAAGAUGGAAACGCCAUUGAAGCCUGCCAACACAGGCGGCAUGGGAGCCACCGGAGCUGAAGAAGAGAAGGGGUACUUCGCAGGACAGUCUUCGGGCGCCUUCCCCCGUGCAGCCGGGCGAUGCUCUGCUGAAGCUAAUCACGAUUACCCAAUAAAUCAUGCCUUGUUUCUCUCGAUGUCAGUUCAGACUUCAGAGCUAUGUUCUCCAAUCUCCACUAUUCGAUCCUGAUAGAGAGUCAUCACCGGCUUUGUAAAUGUUAAGUGAUCCCAUUGUACUGUAGUACAUUAUUCCCCAGUUUGUCAAAGAAAAGUGGAUAUGUAUUCCUUAAUAGAAGUGCAUAAUUAUGUAAA